Molecule: ribosomal RNA, 478 nt
Filed under: Escherichia coli
Lineage: Bacteria; Pseudomonadati; Pseudomonadota; Gammaproteobacteria; Enterobacterales; Enterobacteriaceae
Description: partial 23S ribosomal RNA
Rfam family: Bacterial large subunit ribosomal RNA
Source: RNAcentral
AGGCAUGCUGGAGGUAUCAGAAGUGCGAAUGCUGACAUAAGUAACGAUAAAGCGGGUGAAAAGCCCGCUCGCCGGAAGACCAAGGGUUCCUGUCCAACGUUAAUCGGGGCAGGGUGAGUCGACCCCUAAGGCGAGGCCGAAAGGCGUAGUCGAUGGGAAACAGGUUAAUAUUCCUGUACUUGGUGUUACUGCGAAGGGGGGACGGAGAAGGCUAUGUUGGCCGGGCGACGGUUGUCCCGGUUUAAGCGUGUAGGCUGGUUUUCCAGGCAAAUCCGGAAAACUAAGGCUGAGGCGUGAUGACGAGGCACUACGGUGCUGAAGCAACAAAUGCCCUGCUUCCAGGAAAAGCCUCUAAGCAUCAGGUAACAUCAAAUCGUACCCCAAACCGACACAGGUGGUCAGGUAGAGAAUACCAAGGCGCUUGAGAGAACUCGGGUGAAGGAACUAGGCAAAAUGGUGCCGUAACUUCGGGAGAAGG